GGUCACAGCAGCCUGGGAAAAUAAUAGAGGACACUCGCCAUCACCCCAAGAGCACCCUCGUGCGCCUGCCCGGUCGGUCCUCCCACCCCAGCUUGCGUCCACCGCCGUCCUGAUAUUUCCCAUCGGAGAUCGAUUGGCUUAUGCUGGGGCCUCGUAUACACGGAACCGCGCAGCUGUGUUCUUUCGUGUCUGGCGUCUUCCACCCGGCGCGAGGUUUUGGAGAUGCGCGCAGGCUGCUGGGCUGACCAAUCGAAUGUGACGGAAAUGGUGGUGUGCCAGUUUGGGGCUUAAGCCUAAAGAAGGCGUAGAAGCUUUUACUUCUGUGUUUGGAGGAAGCCAGCUGCUGUGUAAGGAGUGUGACUACUGCGUGGGGAGACCACGUCGAAAGGCCACAUGGAGAGAGCACCAGGAAAGACAACUUGGACCACACGCAGGGGCCAUGUGGAAAGAUUAUGUGAAGAGGCCACAUGUGCAGGGGCCACUUGGAGAGGCCACAUGAGGAGGGAGAAAAUACGUAAUGGAGGAACGGAGAACCAGGCGGGCAGACACAUGCUCCAGCCACUGCGGCCAUCCUCGCUCGCUGAGGAUGAGCCACACAUGGGAGCGAAGAAGUCACCUUGGAUGUUCCAGCCAGCAGCCAGCACUGGAACAGAGACAAGCUGGCCCUCUGGGCUCUGUCCAAAAUUCCUGACCCACAGGAUCAUGAGCAAAGCAAACAGUGGUUGUUCUCAGCCACCAAGUUAUGGGGGACAUUGUCACACCACAAUAUUCAGAGCAUGCCCUGCCCCUAGGCUGGCACUGUGGCCAGUUCCUUGUGUCCCUUCCAGCGGGAGACACAUCUUCAGACAAACACAUGCGUAAAUGUCCAUGUCUCCCCUCAUUUAUGUGGGGGUUGGCACGCCACACAUUCUGGCUGCACUUGGCUUUCUUCUCUUAACGAUAGAUCUUGGAGAUGGUGCUAGAUGCGUGCCGUUCCACACAGUAGUCACCAGCCACAGGAGGUUCUUGAAAUUUAAUUAAAAUGGAAUGAAAUAAAAACUUCAGUUCCUCAGUCACGCUAGCCACAUCUCAAGCGCUCAAUGGCCACACACGGCUGGUAGCUCCCAGAUGGCACAGCCCAGAUUAGGCUAUCCCCACCGUUCCAGAAAGUUCUACGGGACGGCGCUGGUCUGGAUCCCCUCCCACAGCGCUGCCUCGGUCUUUCUAGCGGCUGCAUCCUAUUUCCUGGUAAUGACAGCCAUGAUGUGCUCUUGUGAGCUUCUGCUAUUCCCACGUCCAUUGGUCUUUGUGCAGGGGUGGGAGUCUUUGUCGUAGAAAUGCCCAGCAACAGUUCCCACUCUGAGAGCCGUGGCCAAGUGACAACUGGAGGUG
RNAcentral lists this long non-coding RNA (1371 nucleotides) under Equus asinus (donkey). Its description in RNAcentral is "lncRNA (ENSEASG00005030006.1, ENSEASG00020029566.1)". Lineage: Eukaryota; Metazoa; Chordata; Mammalia; Perissodactyla; Equidae. The record is from RNAcentral.